Molecule: ribosomal RNA, 460 nt
Filed under: uncultured Streptococcus sp.
Lineage: Bacteria; Bacillati; Bacillota; Bacilli; Lactobacillales; Streptococcaceae
Description: bacterial SSU rRNA
Rfam family: Bacterial small subunit ribosomal RNA
Source: RNAcentral
CCCGCACAAGCGGUGGAGCAUGUGGUUAAUUCGAAGCAACGCGAAGAACCUUACCAGGUCUUGACAUCCCGAUGCUAUUUCUAGAGAUAGAAAGUUACUUCGGUACAUCGGUGACAGGUGGUGCAUGGUUGUCGUCAGCUCGUGUCGUGAGAUGUUGGGUUAAGUCCCGCAACGAGCGCAACCCCUAUUGUUAGUUGCCAUCAUUCAGUUGGGUACUCUAGCGAGACUGCCGGUAAUAAACCGGAGGAAGGUGGGGAUGACGUCAAAUCAUCAUGCCCCUUAUGACCUGGGCUACACACGUGCUACAAUGGUUGGUACAACGAGUUGCGAGUCGGUGACGGCGAGCUAAUCUCUUAAAGCCAAUCUCAGUUCGGAUUGUAGGCUGCAACUCGCCUACAUGAAGUCGGAAUCGCUAGUAAUCGCGGAUCAGCACGCCGCGGUGAAUACGUUCCCGGGCCUU